RNAcentral lists this microRNA (22 nucleotides) under Anas platyrhynchos (mallard). Its description in RNAcentral is "miR-25-y". Lineage: Eukaryota; Metazoa; Chordata; Aves; Anseriformes; Anatidae. The record is from RNAcentral.
UCAGACCGAGACAAGUGCAAUG